Molecule: long non-coding RNA, 832 nt
Organism: Lycium barbarum (goji berry)
Lineage: Eukaryota; Viridiplantae; Streptophyta; Magnoliopsida; Solanales; Solanaceae
Exons: 3
Source: RefSeq, a predicted model, not a curated record
CGUCAUGAGAACCUGUUUUCUGACCGUACUGAUUUAAUUUGGUCAAUCAUUUUGUUCUUGACCAAUAAAUAAAUCAUUUUUUUUGCUCAAACAAUAACUAUUUCAAUUAUUUAAAAUUCAUUUCAUUAGGUAAUUUGGUGUGCUGCACAUGCAUUAAGAUAUUAUUGGUGGUACAUGUUACUGAUAUAUAUUAAGAAUCAGUUGUUUAUAAUAUAAGUGCAGCUAAUAGACUCAAGAUCUGCAUGGAAUACAUCAUACAUCAUAGAUACAUACUAUUUCAACUAUCUUGUGGACGCAUUCUUCAAGGGCAUAUUUGUGAGGCACUCCGUAAGGAUCAGGUAAGCAGACCGUGCAAGCUAACCGCCUUCAUCGGCUGGGAUGAGAUUGAGAAAGAAGUCGAAAAACAAAUCAAUUUAUUAUAGGAGGUUACUCCCUUGCAGGAGAAAAAGUAAUUCUUUUCAUCUUCAGAGGUUUCCAUCAAGUAUUUGGCAUUUCAACCGGAAGAUCGUUUUAGAUGAAUGUUAAUGGACUUGCACUCAAGCAGAAGAUCGUUUUAGAUGGAUGUAAAUGGAACUUGCAUUAGCAUUAAGAUAUAUUUGGGUUCUUUUCCUCGUGACUGUGUAAUUGUAGACGAAGUGAGGAUGUAGUAACUUUUAACUUUUGUGUGAAAAUAUAAGUAACUUUUAACUUUUGUGUUGUACAUAUUGCUAUAGUUAAGUUCGAGGGCUGUUUACGCCCCUUAUUAAGAGGGUUAGUUUUCCUACUUGAAUAUGGAAGAUUUUGGGCCCGUGCCCAUCUAGUUUUCUUUUACAUUAUUUAUUUACAUUAUAUA